GAUGAAGAACGCAGCGAAAUGCGAUACGUAAUGUGAAUUGCAGAAUUCAGUGAAUCAUCGAAUCUUUGAACGCAUAUUGCGCUCUCUGGUAUUCCGGAGAGCAUGCUUGUUUGAGUAUCAGUAAACACCUCAACUUCCAUAUCUUUUUUGAAAUGGGAGUUGGACUUGAGUGAUCCCAACGCUUUUCCUCACCGAAAAGUGGCGGGUUACUUGAAAUGCAGGUGCAGCUGGACUUUUCUCUGAGCUAUAAGCAUAUCUAUUUAGUCUGCCUAAAAAACAGAUUAUUACCUUUGCUGCAGCUAACAUAAAGGAGAUUAGUUCUUGUGCUGACUGAUGCAGGAUUCACAAAGACGGCUUCGGCCGACUUUGUAAACUCGAUCUCAAAUCAAGUAAGACUACCCGCUGAACUUAAGAAUAUCAAUAAGCGGAGGA
RNAcentral lists this unclassified non-coding RNA (432 nucleotides) under soil metagenome. RNAcentral's name for it is "partial contains 5.8S ribosomal RNA, internal transcribed spacer 2, and large subunit ribosomal RNA". The stretch from base 1 to 120 matches the Rfam family "5.8S ribosomal RNA", at positions 35 to 154 of the family's 154-position model. The record is from RNAcentral.